CAACACCUAAAACAACAUAUCCAGCAGGCGGCUCCCCUGGGUCAACCCGCGGAGGGUCACUUUGGGAAACCACUUUAAAAAAACUAACCGCUGGUUUUUUCUUCCUGUCUAAGCCAUGUCCCAGUAUCAACGUUCAAACUAAAGACUUUGAAAGCAUCGAAAAGAAAAUGGCAAGAAAGCAAGAUAGAUAUCUUGUAUUUGCAUAAGAAUUCUAGGCUACUUGUGUUGUCCAGUAUUUCGACGUCUCCAUCAUUUUCCAUUUACUGAACAAGAUUGUGAUGAAUUACAAGCCCACUGGCAGCAACCAGACGCCCCAAGGAUUUAAGGCAAGGCGGGCUUUAUAGUUGUCAUUGCUUUUGGGUGUUUGCUUCUGGUUGCUAUACCAAAUUGAGCACUCAAACAGUAAGGGGAAGGACUAUGGUGGAGGUCUACAAAGCAAGCUCAGGGAACAAAAUGCUGUUCUUGUUUUGGGUCGGAAAGGGAAUGCAGCAUGGUCAAGUGAUGGAGGUGUGUCCAACUUAGAAGAUGUCAAUCUUGUGGGAGAAGAUAAAAUGAAAGAAGAUGGUGGAGGUGGAGAUGAUGAAUUAGAUGGAAUUUUAGAAGAAAAAAUUUUCCAGAAGGAACUGGAGCAACCGGAGAUGGUGUCUCUAAAUGAUUUAAUAAAUAAUUCUGAUGUUGAAGGAUUUUAUUCCAAGAAAGGAUAUGAUGACUCAUGGGGAAGUAGUGAGCUAGGAGGUGAGAAGAGGCUUGAGAUUGAUGAUGAAAGAGAUGGCAAGGACCCGAAAAUAGAAGUUAAGCAGAUAGGUGGAAAGGAUUAAAAAAGACAAGGUAAGGAAUCAGAAAGGGUUAAGGAAAUUGCUGAUGAUUCUAU
Molecule: long non-coding RNA, 871 nt
Organism: Juglans microcarpa x Juglans regia
Lineage: Eukaryota; Viridiplantae; Streptophyta; Magnoliopsida; Fagales; Juglandaceae
Exons: 2
Source: RefSeq, a predicted model, not a curated record